Molecule: unclassified non-coding RNA, 331 nt
Filed under: uncultured Suillus
Lineage: Eukaryota; Fungi; Basidiomycota; Agaricomycetes; Boletales; Suillaceae
Description: sequence contains ITS2
Rfam family: 5.8S ribosomal RNA (bases 1-52)
Source: RNAcentral
AACGCACCUUGCGCUCCUCGGUGUUCCGAGGAGCAUGCCUGUUUGAGUGUCAGUAAAUUCUCAACCCCUCUCGAUUUGCUUCGAGCGGGUGCUUGGAUGUUGGGGGCUGCCGGAGACACUGGACUCGUCCAGGACUCGGGCUCCUCUUAAAUGAAUCGGCUCGCGGUCGACUUUCGACUUUGCAUGACAAGGCCUUUGGCGUGAUAAUGAUCGCCGUUCGCCGAAGUGCAAGACAGAAUGGUCCCGUGCCUCUAAUGCGUCGACGCCUCUAGGGGCGUCUUCCUCAUUGACGUUUGACCUCAAAUCAGGUAGGACUACCCGCUGAACUUAA